UACAGAGGGUGCAAGCGUUAAUCGGAAUUACUGGGCGUAAAGCGUGCGUAGACGGUUAUUUAAGUCAGGUGUGAAAGCCCCGGGCUCAACCUGGGAAUUGCAUUUGAGACUGAAUAGCUAGGGUGCGGAAGAGGGAAGCGGAAUUUCCGGUGUAGCGGUGAAAUGCGUAGAUAUCGGAAGGAACACCAGUGGCGAAGGCGGGUCUCUGGGCAGUAACUGACGCUGAGGAGCGAAAGCGUGGGGAGCGAACAGG
RNAcentral lists this ribosomal RNA (253 nucleotides) under uncultured bacterium. Its description in RNAcentral is "partial 16S ribosomal RNA". It matches the Rfam family "Bacterial small subunit ribosomal RNA", at positions 524 to 776 of the family's 1533-position model. The record is from RNAcentral.